Molecule: ribosomal RNA, 425 nt
Filed under: Chelonoidis niger
Lineage: Eukaryota; Metazoa; Chordata; Testudines; Testudinidae
Description: partial 12S small subunit ribosomal RNA
Rfam family: Bacterial small subunit ribosomal RNA
Source: RNAcentral
GAUUAGAUACCCCACUAUGCUUAGCCCUAAACCCAGAUAUUUAACACACAAAAAUAUCCGCCAGAGAACUACGAGCAUAACGCUUAAAACUCUAAGGACUUGGCGGUGCCUUAAACCCCCCUAGAGGAGCCUGUUCUAUAAUCGAUAAUCCACGAUCCACCUCACCAUCUCUUGCCAGUACCGCCUAUAUACCACCGUCACUAGCCUACCCUAUGAAGGAUAUAAAAGUAAGCAAAACAGCCAACAAUAGCUAAUAAGUCAGGUCAAGGUGUAGCUAACUGAGAUGGAAGAAAUGGGCUACAUUUUCUAAACUAGAAAUUAUCUCACGGAAAGAACCAUGAAACAAGUUCUACAAGCAGGAUUUAGCAGUAAACAAGGAUUAGAAUGCCCAAUUUAAGCCGGUCCUAAGGCACGCACACACCGCC